RNAcentral lists this ribosomal RNA (472 nucleotides) under uncultured bacterium. Its description in RNAcentral is "partial 16S ribosomal RNA". It matches the Rfam family "Bacterial small subunit ribosomal RNA", at positions 30 to 507 of the family's 1533-position model. The record is from RNAcentral.
AUUGAACGCUGGCGGCAGGCCUAACACAUGCAAGUCGAGCGGGGACUUCGGUCCUAGCGGCGUACGGGUGAGUAAUGCUUGGGAAUCUGCCCAGUAGUGUGGGAUACCGUCCCGACAGGGACGCUAAUACCGCAUACGUCCUACGGGCGAAAGAGGUGGAUCUUCGGACCUCUCGCUAUUGGAUGAGCCCACGUCGGAUUAGCUAGUUGGUAGGGUAAUGGCCUACCAAGGCGACGAUCCGUAGCUGGUCUGAGAGGAUGAUCAGCCACACUGGAACUGAGACACGGUCCAGACUCCUACGGGAGGCAGCAGUGGGGAAUAUUGGACAAUGGGCGAAAGCCUGAUCCAGCCAUGCCGCGUGUGUGAAGAAGGCCUUCGGGUUGUAAAGCACUUUAAGCGGGGAGGAAGGUUCGCGGCCUAAUACGUCGCGGAAUUGACGUUACCCGCAGAAUAAGCACCGGCUAACUCUGUG